Molecule: non-coding RNA, 65 nt
Organism: Dipodomys ordii (Ord's kangaroo rat)
Lineage: Eukaryota; Metazoa; Chordata; Mammalia; Rodentia; Heteromyidae
Source: Rfam
GGUGGCUCAGUGGUAGGGUGCUUGCCUUGCAUGCAUGAGGCCCUGGGUUCGAUUCCUCAGUACCA